UACGGGGGGGGUAAGCGUUGUUCGGAAUUACUGGGCGUAAAGGGCUCGUAGGCGGCCAACUAAGUCGAACGUGAAAUCCCCGGGCUCAACCCGGGAACUGCGUCCGAUACUGGAAGGCUUGAAUCCGGGAGAGGGAUGCGGAAUUCCAGGUGUAGCGGUGAAAUGCGCAGAUAUCAGGAGGAACACCAACGGCGAAGGCAGCACUCUGGGCCGGUACUGACGCUGAGGAGCGAAAGCGUGGGGAGCGAACAGG
RNAcentral lists this ribosomal RNA (253 nucleotides) under uncultured bacterium. Its description in RNAcentral is "partial 16S ribosomal RNA". It matches the Rfam family "Bacterial small subunit ribosomal RNA", at positions 524 to 776 of the family's 1533-position model. The record is from RNAcentral.